UCCAUGGGGAAAGAAUCAUCUUUCGAGGCUUUCAUACGGAGCGUCAGCUCAUGAUGCCUUGGGGAAAGUCUCCGGCAGUAGAUUGCAGGCGGAAACGUCGAUGGGUCACAUAACUCAUCAGCAGUGAGGAGUCAGGUCGCAGAAAUGGUUCUUACUUGUUUUGAUUGGUUGACACCUUAGCCUCUUGCUAUUGUUGGUGUUGACUAGUUGGAGCUUGUAUUUAUUGAGCUAUAGAUGUGUCUGACAAUGCACUGCUCUAUUCAAGAGCUUCUUUAGCUCUUUGAUUGGGAGGCUUCUCCUGAUAUUCUGCACUGGAUACUCUUAUCUAAACCAUAGUUAUGAUGAUUGUCAACAUUGUUGUUGAUAACCCAAUGGAGCUCACUUUUUUCCAUGG
This 394-nucleotide RNase MRP RNA is filed under the name Ogataea parapolymorpha DL-1. RNAcentral's name for it is "RNase MRP". It matches the Rfam family "RNase MRP". From Rfam's summary of the family: RNase MRP is an enzymatically active ribonucleoprotein with two distinct roles in eukaryotes. In mitochondria it plays a direct role in the initiation of mitochondrial DNA replication. Lineage: Eukaryota; Fungi; Ascomycota; Pichiomycetes; Pichiales; Pichiaceae. The record is from Rfam by way of RNAcentral.